This 439-nucleotide ribosomal RNA is filed under the name uncultured bacterium. Its description in RNAcentral is "bacterial SSU rRNA". It matches the Rfam family "Bacterial small subunit ribosomal RNA", at positions 958 to 1392 of the family's 1533-position model. The record is from RNAcentral.
AACGCGAAGAACCUUACCUGGGUUUGACAUAUGCCGGAAAGCCGUAGAGAUACGGCCCCUUUUAGUCGGUAUACAGGUGGUGCAUGGCUGUCGUCAGCUCGUGUCGUGAGAUGUUGGGUUAAGUCCCGCAACGAGCGCAACCCUCGUUCUAUGUUGCCAGCACGCCUUUCGGGGUGGUGGGGACUCAUAGGAGACUGCCGGGGUCAACUCGGAGGAAGGUGGGGAUGACGUCAAGUCAUCAUGCCCCUUAUGUCCAGGGCUUCACGCAUGCUACAAUGGCCGGUACAAAGGGCUGCGAAACUGUAAGGUGGAGCGAAUCCCAAAAAGCCGGUCUCAGUUCGGAUUGGGGUCUGCAACUCGACCCCAUGAAGUCGGAGUCGCUAGUAAUCGCAGAUCAGCAACGCUGCGGGGAAUACGUUCCCGGGCCUUGUACACACCG